This is a long non-coding RNA of Dermacentor albipictus, 402 nucleotides long. RefSeq lists it as uncharacterized. The record is from RefSeq and is a predicted model, not a curated record. Lineage: Eukaryota; Metazoa; Arthropoda; Arachnida; Ixodida; Ixodidae.
GUAGGACUGCUGGAAACAACCUUUCGAAGGUGAAAAGCCGUAGUUUCGAAGUUUUUCCUAGAGAGAAAGACAUGCAGCUGAAAGUGAUGAUUGUGGGCCUGGCCAUUUUUGGACUUAUCGUGGCAGAGAGUGGUGCCAUGCCGGCCAGCAGCGUCAGUGAGGCCGAGGCCAGGACUGAUCCCGAGUCUGCUGAGCGUGCCGAGCAGAGCAAUGCCGAGGAGGCACGCUACAGCGACGCAUGCCUUAAGACCAUUUGCGGGUAGUACCCUGGUCCGUGAAGGUGGCACGUUUGAAGCAAGAAGUUGAAAGAAACACCUCGAACGAAGUUGAGAGAUGAUCCAGCGCGCGACACCAGUGGCCGUUGCGGCUGCGUUACAUGUUCUUGCGCAAUAAAUGAAGCCG